GUGCCAGCAGCCGCGGUAAUUCCAGCUCCAAUAGCGUAUAUUAAAGUUGUUGUGGUUAAAAAGCUCGUAGUUGAACCUUGGGCCUGGCUGGCCGGUCCGCCUCACCGCGUGCACUGGUCCGGCCGGGCCUUUCCCUCUGUGGAACCCCAUACCCUUCACUGGGCGUGGCGGGGAAACAGGACAUUUACUUUGAAAAAAUUAGAGUGCUCCAGGCAGGCCUAUGCUCGAAUACAUUAGCAUGGAAUAAUAAAAUAGGACGCGCGGUUCUAUUUUGUUGGUUUAUAGGACCGCCGUAAUGAUUAAUAGGGACAGUCGGGGGCAUCAGUAUUCAACUGUCAGAGGUGAAAUUCUUGGAUCAGUUGAAGACUAACUACUGCGAAAGCAUUUGCCAAGGAUGUUUUCAUUAAUCAGGAACGAAAGUUAGGGGAUCGAAGACGAUCAGAUACCGUCGUAGUCUUAACCAUAAACUAUGCCGACUAGGGAUCGGACGGUGUUAUUCAUGACCCGUUCGGCACCUUACGAGAAAUCAAAGUGCUUGGGCUCCAGGGGGAGUAUGGUCGCAAGGCUGAAACUUAAAGAAAUUGACGGAAGGGCACCACCAGGGGUGGAGCCUGCGGCUUAAUUUGACUCAACACGGGGAAACUCACCAGGUCCAGACACAAUAAGGAUUGACAGAUUGAGAGCUCUUUCUUGAUUUUGUGGGUGGUGGUGCAUGGCCGUUCUUAGUUGGUGGGGUGACUUGUCUGCUUAAUUGCGAUAAACGAACGAAGACUUUAUC
This 778-nucleotide ribosomal RNA is filed under the name uncultured fungus. RNAcentral's name for it is "SSU rRNA". It matches the Rfam family "Eukaryotic small subunit ribosomal RNA", at positions 564 to 1347 of the family's 1831-position model. The record is from RNAcentral. Lineage: Eukaryota; Fungi.